GAUGAAGAACGUAGCGAAAUGCGAUAAGUAAUGUGAAUUGCAGAAUUCAGUGAAUCAUCGAAUCUUUGAACGCACAUUGCGCCCGCCAGUAUUCUGGCGGGCAUGCCUGUUCGAGCGUCAUUACAACCCUCAGGCCCCCGGGCCUGGCGUUGGGGAUCGGCGGAAGCCCCCUGCGGGCACAACGCCGUCCCCCAAAUACAGUGGCGGUCCCGCCGCAGCUUCCAUUGCGUAGUAGCUAACACCUCGCAACUGGAGAGCGGCGCGGCCACGCCGUAAAACACCCAACUUCUGAAUGUUGACCUCGAAUCAGGUAGGAAUACCCGCUGAACUUAAGCUUAUCAAUAAGCGGAGGA
This 353-nucleotide unclassified non-coding RNA is filed under the name soil metagenome. RNAcentral's name for it is "partial contains 5.8S ribosomal RNA, internal transcribed spacer 2, and large subunit ribosomal RNA". The stretch from base 1 to 120 matches the Rfam family "5.8S ribosomal RNA", at positions 35 to 154 of the family's 154-position model. The record is from RNAcentral.